RNAcentral lists this ribosomal RNA (253 nucleotides) under uncultured bacterium. Its description in RNAcentral is "partial 16S ribosomal RNA". It matches the Rfam family "Bacterial small subunit ribosomal RNA", at positions 524 to 776 of the family's 1533-position model. The record is from RNAcentral.
UACAGAGGGGGCAAGCGUUGUUCGGAAUUACUGGGCGUAAAGGGCGCGUAGGCGGCCUGCUAAGUCGAACGUGAAAUCCCUGGGCUCAACCCAGGAACUGCGUCCGAUACUGGUUGGCUUGAAUCCGGGAGAGGGAUGUGGAAUUCCAGGUGUAGCGGUGGAAUGCGUAGAUAUCUGGAAGAACACCGGUGGCGAAGGCGGUGGUCUGGGCCGUUACUGACGCUGAGGAGCGAAAGCCAGGGGAGCGAACGGG